CGCGGCCCCAACGCCGACGGUGCGGCCCCACGGCGCCCGCCCCACAGGUGAGCUGCUGGUUGGGGGGGAUGAGGGUCUGGGGGGAUCUAUGGGGCCCAUGGGGUGAGAGAUGUGGGGUGUUCCUAUGGAUCUAUGGGGCCCAUGGGGUGAGUGAGUGUUCCUGUGGGUCUGUGGGGUCCGUGGGGUUGGAGAUGUGGGGUGAGUGAGUGUUCCUAUGGGGCUUUGGGGUCUGUGGGGUGGGAGCUGUGGGGUUGAGUGUUCCUGUGGGUCUAUGGGGCCCAUGGGGUGAGUGAGUGUUCCUAUGGGGCUGUGGGGUCUGUGGGGUGUUCCUAUGGAUCUGUGGGGCCCAUGGGGUGAGUGAGUGUUCCUAUGGAUCUAUGGGGCCCAUGGGGUCGGAUCUAUGGGGCCCACGGGGUCAGAUCUAUGGGGCCCACGGGGUCGGAUCUAUGGGGCCUACGGGUGCCCAUCUAUGGGGCCGAGGACUGGAACGUGUGGGGUGAUUGUUCCCUUCUCUCUUGGUGGGAUCUAUGGGGUCCAUAGGGUUGGAUCUAUGGGGCCGGCAGGUGUCCGUCUGUGGGAUCUGUCAGGUUGGGAUCUGUGGGGUGAGUGGUUGCUGGCACGGAGCUGUGGGGCCGCUUGGGGGUCAUCUGUGGGGUUUUGUAGGGUCGGAUGGGGGGGCUCUGUGGGGUGGCCCUAUAGGGUGGGUUCUGUAGGGUGGCUCUGUAGGGCGGCUCUAUGGGGUGGCGGAUUGUUCCCUAUUGUCUUGCUUGGAUCUGUGGGGUCUUGUAGGAUCUAUGGGGUCUUAUGGGGUGUUGUAGGAUCUGUGGGGUCUUGUAGGAUCUGUGGGGUCUUGUAGGGUCUAUGGGGUCUUAUGGGAUCUAUGGGGUCUUGUGGGGCCCUGUAGGGCCUAUGAGGUCUUGUAGGGUCUGUGGGGUCUUGUGGGAUCUAUGGGGUCUUAUGGGCUCUAUGGCAUCUUGUAGGGUCUAUGGGGUCUUGUAGGAUCUGUGGUGUCUUGUAGGGUCUGUGGGGUCCUGUAUGAUCUAUGGGGUCUUGUAGGGUCUGUGGGGUCUUAUGGUGUCUUGUAGGAUCUAUGGGGUCUUGUGGGGUCUUAUGGUGUCUUAUAGGAUCUGUGGGGUCUUGUGGGGUCUUAUGGUGUCUUGUAGGAUGUAUGGGGUUUUACGGGGUCUUGUAGGAUCUAUGGGGUCUCGUAGGGUCUGUGGGGUCUUGUAGGGUGGGAUAUUUGGGGCAAAGCGGGUGGCGAUCUGUGGGGCCGUUCUUAUGGGAUCUGUGGGGUGAUUGGUGUUAGUGUUGUUUGUUGGAUCUGUGGGUCAGUGGGGUCGGAUCUGUGGGGUCAGAUCUGUGGGGUCGGAUCUGUGGGGCUCAUUGAGAUCUGUGGGGUCGGAUC
This 1405-nucleotide long non-coding RNA is filed under the name Phasianus colchicus (ring-necked pheasant). RNAcentral's name for it is "lncRNA (ENSPCLG00000016512.1)". The record is from RNAcentral. Lineage: Eukaryota; Metazoa; Chordata; Aves; Galliformes; Phasianidae.